CAAUAGCGUAUAUUAAAGUUGUUGCAGUUAAAAAGCUCGUAGUUGGAUUUCGGGGCGGCCUGUCUGGUCCGUCGCGAGACGAGUACUGGUCAGCCGCCCUUCCUCUCGAAAGCCCGACUGCUCUUAACUGCAGUGGUCGGGUAGUUCGGGACGUUUACUUUGAAAAAAUUAGAGUGUUCAAGGCAGGCUCUGGCCUGAAUACAUUAGCAUGGAAUAAUGGAAGAGGACCUCGGUCCUAUUUUGUUGGUUUCUGGGGCCGAAGUAAUGAUUAAGAGGGACAGUUGGGGGCAUUCGUAUUUAAUUGUCAGAGGUGAAAUUCUCGGAUUUAUGAAAGACGAACAACUGCGAAAGCAUUUGCCAAGGAUGUUUUCAUUAA
Molecule: ribosomal RNA, 376 nt
Filed under: uncultured eukaryote
Lineage: Eukaryota
Description: partial 18S ribosomal RNA
Rfam family: Eukaryotic small subunit ribosomal RNA
Source: RNAcentral